RNAcentral lists this ribosomal RNA (253 nucleotides) under uncultured bacterium. RNAcentral's name for it is "partial 16S ribosomal RNA". It matches the Rfam family "Bacterial small subunit ribosomal RNA", at positions 524 to 776 of the family's 1533-position model. The record is from RNAcentral.
UACGUAGGGUGCAAGCGUUGUCCGGAAUUAUUGGGCGUAAAGAGCUCGUAGGCGGUUCGUCGCGUCGGCUGUGAAAUCCCGAGGCUCAACCUCGGGUCUGCAGUCGAUACGGGCGGACUGGAGUUCGGCAGGGGAGACUGGAAUUCCUGGUGUAGCGGUGAAAUGCGCAGAUAUCAGGAAGAACACCGGUGGCGAAGGCGGCUCUCUGGGCCUUACCUGACGCUGAGGAGCGAAAGCGUGGGUAGCGAACAGG